CACGUAGGCGGCGGCGUAAGUUGGAUGUGAAAUCCCUCGGCCUAACCGAGGAACUGCGUCCAGUACUGCGUUGCUUGAGGAUCCAAGGGGUGCAUGGAAUUCCCGGUGGAGCGGUGAAAUGCGUUGAUAUCGGGAGGAACUCCGGCGGCGAAAGCGGUGCACUGGUGGAUUUCUGACGCUGAGGUGCGAAAGCCAGGGGAGCAAACGGGAUUAGAUACCCCGGUAGUCCUGGCCGUAAACGAUGGGCACUAGGUAGGGGAAACCAAACGUCUCCCUGCUGGAGUGAAUAUAUUAAGUGCCCCGCCUAGGAAGUACGGUCGCAAGGCUGAA
RNAcentral lists this ribosomal RNA (330 nucleotides) under uncultured bacterium. Its description in RNAcentral is "bacterial SSU rRNA". It matches the Rfam family "Bacterial small subunit ribosomal RNA", at positions 568 to 898 of the family's 1533-position model. The record is from RNAcentral.